Molecule: long non-coding RNA, 32803 nt
Filed under: Gossypium raimondii (Peruvian cotton)
Lineage: Eukaryota; Viridiplantae; Streptophyta; Magnoliopsida; Malvales; Malvaceae
Description: long non-coding RNA (GRAI_LNC003406)
Source: RNAcentral
CUGCAUUUUUUCCCUUCGGAUUGGGACCUCGAUCUUGUGUUGGUAUGUCCUUUGCAAUCACGGAAACUAAGGUUGCACUCUCCAUGAUUCUACAACGCUACACCAUUACCCUCUCCCCUGCCUAUGUCCACUCACCAAUGACUAUUCUCGCCAUUCGACCACAGCAUGGAAUUCAAGUAAUACUUGAGUCACUGCAUAACAAUGCUUAAAGUACACAAUAGCUAAGGGACUUGAGGUUUAACUCAAUUUGUUUAUGUAUUCACCUUUAGGUGUUAAAGCACUUUUAACAUUAGUAACCCCUUCCUAUUCCUAUGCUAUACCCUACUCAACGCAAAAACAUGGUAAAACAUGCAAUCCAUAAAUAUAUAUAUGUGUAUGUUUCAGUAUUGUUGAUCAAUAUAUAAUUUUUACUAGUUAUGCCUUAUUUCAUUUGAAUUGCAGUAUUAGCAUCCUAAAGCCUUUCCAGCAAGCAAUAGCAGCAAGAAUUAAACUAAGUUGUGAACAUCGAUACAUUGUAGGAUAGGCUUGAUCAAGAGCAUUAGUCAAACAACAGCAGCAAACAUAUCCCAUAGAUACCACUUGAUAUCAAGCACCAUAGAUACCACUCGAUAUCAAGCACCACCAUGAAUUAAACAUGGGUCUCCUCUUGAUUCUAGGUUUAACGAACGACUCUGCCAUGCCAUUCCUCUCACAAUUUACAUGAUGAAAAAAAACCGAACCAAUCUCAAUCACAAUUCAAUGAAUGUCAGAAAAAUACCCCGAAGCUUCCUGUUGGGGUUAUCAGGACAUAGAACAAGGAAGCAAGAUGUAUGAAAUAUUUUUACUUGCUCACAAUCUUGCAGCAAGGGAGAUUAUGGCUGAUAGCUCAUUUUGCUCAUUCAUUCAACUAGAAAAAACAAUACAUUUAUAACCAAAUACAUCAGUAAAUACUGCCUACUACCACUUAAAUAGCCUAGGAACUUGUAAAACAUUGCUUGUGCACAUAAACAAGCCACCUAAACUAGUCAUCCAACUACCUAAACACUUCAAGCUUUUAUCAGCUUGUUCAUUUUCAACUAAUUUAAUUACAAUGUAACUAAACAAAAAACUUGUUAAUGCAGCAUGCACAAGGGCUGCAACAUGCAAAUAACCUGCAUGCACUUUAACAUAACAACAGCAUGGUUGGCCACUUUUCAACACUUCCAUGGUCUUUCAGAUUUGUUUUUUAUACCAACAAUCAGACCAUUAGCGUAACAUCUUGUCGAUUGGAUAAAAAGAGCAAGAGUAUGCUUAAUUGCUGCAAUUUCCGCAAGUCCAUUAUCUUACCUAAAUUCUCCACGAUCAAUUAUCUCGUUAAAUUCUUUACUGCCUUCAAUAUUACCACUACAGUCUAUUCUUUCGCUUCUAUCUUGAACUACGUUAAAAUCGCCCAGCACACCCAAUUACCAUUGUGAGAGCUUCUCAGGUCCAAGACCUUCUACCAUAGCACUUUUUGAUCAAUUACAGAACACGAAGCAUAUAAAUUUUGGAUCCAACACUCAAAGAAUCAAUAUCCCAGACGACCAAGAGACCUCUUGAGCGUCCAAUUGAAGGGGAGAAAGAGAAUCCAAAAACAUCAUAAGGCCACAAAGAUCUAAUCUUCUGAUCCUUCACACUCACCAUUUUACUUCCAUGAAGACAGUUCGUGUCCAAUUUAUUAAGAACUACUGCUAGUCUCACCACUUUGUACUUAAUUUUAGCACCAAUACCCCUGAUAUUCCAAGAUAGGAUCGACAUUUGGAUCAAAGGCAAUAAAGCCACAAAAAACACUAGCAAGCAUAAACACAACCAAAAUUUAAAGAAAACAGAAACCGAUGAAAAUACCAACCAAAAACCUGCAACACACCAGACCUGCAGCAUAUUGAAUCGACAUUCUUAACCAAGUUUCUAUCGUUGCAUUCUAAAGUAAUCAACUUUACCUAGUCUUCACAAUUCGCAGACAACCCCAAAAGCUUUCCCACAUUCCAAGUUCCUUCGCCACUUGACUCAAGGUUCUUCGCCUAUUCUGCAGAUCUGAGUCAGUGAGAAUCUGACUAGCAAAUCUAUCACUCUAGUUUGAGUUUUCCAACCCCUUCUUUUACUAGUUCUUAUCCGCUCUUUCCCAAAAGAUAUCUUCAAUGUCGUCGGUGGAUUUCAACCUUCUCUCCUUCUUAGUAGCAACAACGACAAUUUCCCAAUCUAAAAGUUACCACAUAUGUCUUCACCUGGACUAGAAGAAGAGAACACCUUCUCCAUAGCCCUCCUUGCAUUAUAGUCCACCAGGCAAGAUUGGCCCACAUCAGUAUUCACCUCAUUUUUGAUCCAUUCAACUUUGGGUCAGAAGGGAACCCAUCUUGAAUGUUCUCCCCAUUUAAGUCAAAACGUUGUGUAUCUUAAAUAGUAAUUGACUAAGAUAAAUCUUCAUUUCUAGAAAUUUUUUACCCAGCUGUACUAAAGCACCUCUGAGCAUCCUCGUACAAAGAUCUUUCUUUGGUUUCUAUGCCGCCCGCAUUUGACAUCUCUAAGAACUGCUCAUCGAGUGCAUAUCCUCUCUCUCUCCCCCCCUGUGCUCUCGUCAUUUAGAAUCUAAAUCGCUAUUCUCAUUGUCAUAGUAACGACUAGCUAACUCAUCGGAACCGAUAUCGGUGAAGAAAGAAAAGGGGUCGAAGCUAUAACACAACCGACAACUCAAGGACAUCACUAAAUUCCAUUACUAUGAUGUCGAGAAAAUUCAGCAUAUUUAAUAAUACAAUGAGAUUUAUAUUAUAUAUUUUCAAUUUUUUUAAUACUCAUUUUGUACAUUGUGAUUGAAUUGUUUAAAUAUAUACGUACAUUCAAAAUUUUUAAAAUUAACUGUAUCGAGGAGUGUUUAUCACAAUUUAUUAAUGUGAUACAGUACAAAUUUUAAAUAUGUAAAAUAUCGUAGUUAUACAUAUAUGCAACAAAUUUUAUUCGAAGAAAAAAUUUAACUACUAAUUAGAUUCAUUUAAUUAUUAAUUAUGCUGUCUAUGAGACAUGUUUCCUUUCCCUUAAGAAAUAUUAAUUAAAUAAUAAAUUUAUCAAGUGUACGAUAGGUAAAUAACUAACUACUUUUCAUAAAUUCUCUUUUCUUUCAAGGGUGGUAUUGAGAACUCUAAUUGUUCUCUUAUUUGUCUAUUUCUUUCCACUUCUAGUGGCCAAAAGUAAUUAUUACUAAUAAGAUAUCCAAGAAUCAAGUAAUAAGUGUCACAAUUCACAAUGCCUAGAACUAUCUAUAGUGAUCUCUUAUCAAUCCAUAAUUAGGAGGAUAAUGCACUUCAGCACACUUAAACCAACAUACUCCUGCAUUGACAAUAAUACCUAUACUAAUCGAGUUAAGACUUAAUCGGUAAAACUUAAGUAUAAUUGAGUGACUGACGAUGUUGCUUGUUCUUCCAUAACACAAUAAUGAUUCUUUUAUUAUUUAUGCUCAAUUGAUUUUUUUUCCCUGUCAAUGCUAAUAAUUUUAUUUUGUAAUAAUAUAUUUCUAACAACCUAGGUCAUUCAUCCUAAUACUAUUCUCGCUCAAGCACAAGAGAAUUCUGAUAUAAUUUGGUGCAUUAAUAUUAGUAUCAUCUCACCCUCAAAAACGUAUAAAUAAUGACUAAAUUAUUUCAAGCCUCCUCAUUAAUGGUAAGACAUUACAGCACAGAUAUGAUAUUUUACCUUAUCUACGAAGGAACAAAAGGAAAGAUGACAACCAUAUCCCACUCAAUUACCAUUUAAAUGCUUUGUUAAAUAUGGAAAUCACAAUAGAAUAACUAAAGGAGCAACUGGAUUCAGUGUUGAGAGAAGGAAAAAUGAGUGGCUUGAUGGAGCUUGUGAUUCUUGUCGCGUGUUGUUUCUUCCUCGUAACUUUAAUCAAGUUCCUUUACGAUUAUCUGUGGAUACCUCUGCGUAUACAGCAUAUACUGAAUUCACAGGGAAUCAAAGGACCUCCUAUCAGAUUCAUCCAUGGCAACAACAAGGAAAUUGCCAAAAUGAAACAAGAAGCAUUAGGCAAACCUGUGGCCUGGACAGAUGAUUUAUUUCCCAGACUACAGCCACAUAUUUACAGCUGGAUCAACAGAUAUGGUAAGAUCCAUGCUGUUUUUUUUCACUAAGAUUUAUAACUCGUAGUUCUAUGAAAGAUUGAUCCUUUUUCUUUUUAUGUGAUUAGGGAAGAAUUUUGUUUAUUGGGACGGUGCUCGAGCUGAAUUGGUGAUUUCUGAGCCUGAACUAGUUAAAGAGGUUUUGAAAAAUAGUGAAAAUAUUUUUCAAAAAGUGAAGCUUCCAGAAAUUAGUAGGAAGCUCAUGGGGAAUGGGCUUGCGUUCACUGAGGGGGAAAAAUGGGCAAAGUAUCGAAAGCUAGCCAAUCACACUUUCCAUGGGGAAAGCCUAAAGGUAAAUCCUCCAAAUAUAUAAACUUGGUGUAAUUAAUUUACGAGAAUUAUACAUACACUACAAUAUUUUAGUAAAAUUUUGUAUUGUUUGCUAGGGAUGAGUUUCUCAUCGAAGUUGAGAAGUAUCGUGAAAAAAUAUUUUUCAAAAGUUUGAUUAUGUUUACCACAUAAAAUGUUAGAUAUAAAUUAAAAAAAGUAAUUUCAUUGAAAGCAUUAUUCCAAAAAAAAAAAAAACAAAAUAAUUAUUUUUUGGCUUUCUAGCUUAGAAUAAAAUCUAAUUUGAAUUCAUGCAUGGUUUUGUGUUGAAAAGUGUUUUCCAUCGCUACUACUUACAUAUUGGAGGAUUCUUUGGACAGAACAUGACUCCAGCAAUGAUUGCUAGUGUUGAAACAAUGCUAGAAAAGUGGAAUGGCCAAGAAGGCCAGGAGAUUGAAGUGUUUCAAGAAUUUAGAUUACUGACUUCAGAAGUGAUUUCCAAAACAGCAUUUGGUAGCAGUUACUUGGAGGGGGAGAAGAUUUUUGCCCUGCUGUACAAGUUGAAAAUACUUGUUAGUCGAAAUAUGUCCAAGACUACAAUUCCUUUCAUCAAGUAUGUUCCCUAUAACCUUAGUUAAUCCCAAGUUUUUCCUUUAUUUCAAUUAGCUUUUGAAUGCAAAUUUUGGACUUUUAUUCCCCAUAGCUUUGGUUUUCUCCUUAUAUAUAGCUUACCAUAGUUUGCUUUUCCAGCAAGCUAUGGAAAUCUGCUGAUUUGCUAGAGUCUGAAAAACUUGCAAAAGGAAUACAAGAUUGUGUAAUGAAGAUUGUUAAGAAAAGAGAAGACCAAGUUGUGAAUGGAGAAGCUGAUAGCUUCGGCAAUGAUUUUCUUGGAUUACUUGUAAAUGCCUAUCAUGAUUUGGAUCAGAAAAAUAGGCUUUCAUUGCAAGACCUGGUAGAUGAAUGCAAAACUUUCUACAUUUCCGGACAAGAAACUGUUAAUUCCCUACUGGGAUGGAUAGUCUUGCAUUUGGCAAUCUAUGGAGAUUGGCAAGAAAAAGCAAGAAGGGAGGUGAUUGACAUUUUUGGUAACCAAAAUCCUCAUCUCGAAGGCAUCACCAAACUUAAAACAGUAAGCAAACUAUCUAACCAAGAUAUUAAAUAGCCAUCACAACAUGAUGUAAUCUAACAUAUUUUCUAUUUUGCAAACUGAUGACCAUGAUCAUCAAUGAAACUCUAAGAUUGUAUGGUCCGUCAAAUGGCUUGGCAAGAACAGUUGCAAGAGAAGUACAGUUGGGAAAGUUAGUCUUGCCUGCUAAAUUAGAUAUUCUGCCUCUAAAUAUUGGACUUCACCGUGACCCUCACUUAUGGGGGGAUAAUGUGCAUCUUUUUAAACCAGAGAGAUUUGCCGACGGGAUUGCCAAAGCUACCAAUUACACCGCGGCUGCAUUUUUGCCCUUCGGAUUGGGUCCUCGAUCUUGUGUUGGUAUGACAUUUGCAACAAUAGAAACCAAGAUUGCUCUCUCCAUGAUUCUACAACGUUACACCAUUACUCUUUCCCCUGCCUAUGUCCACUCUCCAAUACUUAUUCUCACCGUUCGACCACAACAUGGAAUUCAAGUAAUAAUUGAACCGCUACAUAAUAAUUUUUGAAUUACAUAGCUAUUAAGAGAUGACAAUUAAUAUAUCUAAGGUUCUAGCUUUUACUACCCCUUCUCUAUUCCUAAGCUAUUCCCACCUUUAUAUAUAAUGAUAUGCAAGUAGCUACCGGUUUCCCAUAUGGUAAAACAUGCAAUCAAUAAAAAAGAAUGUGUUAAGGCAAGUUUUAGGAGUAGUGACUCAAGAUGUGACUGUUACACUUGGCACUACGCAAGCCACAAAAUUUUCCUUAUUGUUGGUAAUUUUGACCCAAAUAUUUUGAUUAUUUUGCUUGCAUCUUUUUUAGAAUUUGAUGCGGUCGUUGAAAGCACAAAAAUAUCUUAUCCCUAAUAAAUAAUGAAAAAGAAUAGUAAAAAGGAAGUUGGGUCAAAUCCUUAGGGACUGGACUUGCAAAAUAUCUUGCUCCGUAAAAUCCUAGGCAAAAUCUUGCCCAAGAAAACUUAGGUGCCUGAAAAAAAUAAAAUAAAAAAAUAACAUAAUAAAAUGUUUGGAUUUGAAAACGAAAAAUAAAAUAAAAACAAAUUUAAGAAUAUUGAAUCUAAAAUUAGAGAAAUUAAAAAUAGAAUUGAGAGAAAAGAAAUUCUUAUGGGAGAUUCCAGCCUCCAGUUGUCUCGUUCCGCCUUGGGUUCAAUCCUCGGCUUUUAGAUGAUCCUUCCCAAACCCAAUAAGCCAGUUAUAGUGGAAGAGGACGCCUACGACCACCAGCUCCAAGGAUUUAGACUUACGAUUUAGUGGAAUUUGACUCUAGCCAACAAUCACUUCUGUGGGAUCGUCUUAUGCUAGAUCAACGCUUCUCAAUGGCAAAUCCCACGCCAUUUUGUCUCUUGGGCUCGCCAACCUCUGACGCAGUAAGCUAACGAACCGACUGUGCAACCUUCCCAAAACAUACAAAGCGGUCAGUGAUUCAGGUGUAUUUUAGGGGGGGGGAGGAUGUGUAGCCUAUAAGCUUGGCACUCAGUGCCCAGGUGUGUUUCUGGAGGGAUGUAUAGCUACAGGCUUGGCACUUAGUGCCCAAGUGUGUUCAUGGAUGGUAUGGCUCGUUUGAGCAACCAUAUGUGUUUUAGGUGGUUACCCAUGUAUUCGUAUUUGUUCAUUAUAGUUCAUCAAGUUAAUGGUUUUUAUAAAUGGGACGUUGGUUGAAUAGUAAUAAAUAUAAUGUGAUAAAUGAUAGAUGAAUGAUGUAAAGUUUGCUUAUGUUCAAUGGUUAGUUGACAUGAUAUUGAUUUGGAUCAAUUUGUAUAAUAUGGAAUGAUAUGACUUAAAUGUGAUGAACUCACCGUUGAUAUGAAUUGUGGUAAAAGGAUAAAUCAUUUAGUUAAUUGUUUUGUCAUGUAAUUGUGGGAAUUAAGGUAAGUUACAUUGUUUUAAACCUAUGAACUUACUAAGCUUAUUUAAGGCUUACUCUAUUUCAUUUUCUAUUUCUUGUAGUUAACAUUUUGCAGAACUAGGUGAUAGGAUCAUCUCGAAGGUCAUACUAUCCAACCUCCACUUUGGUAGACUUUUAAACCAUUAAACUCAGUGAUGUGGCAUGUAAUAGGAGUUGAUUUGUAAAUAUAUGUUUUGUUGAAGUUGAGUGUUAAAUGGUGAUGUAUAAUUGUAUAUAUGUUUGUUAGCAAGUUGAUAUGCUAACUUAUGACUUGAAUGAUAACAUUUGAAUGUAAUGUUUUGGUGAUAGGGUCAUUUAUGCGUGAUGAUAAUUUGGUGUUUGGAUUUCAUAUAAGGCAUAUAUGUGAUCAUAAUCUAAUUGACAUGAGAUAGGAUUAAUUACUUGAAUUGAUGCAUGUUAUGUUAUGGUGCUAUUGAGGCAUAUUAAUUAGAUUCUAGGGAUCAUGGUUUGUGAUUUAUUUUAGCAUGAAAUUAUACAUUUUGGAUGAGUUAUCAAGUGGAUAGUUAUUAUGCAUAACUUAGGUGAUGAAUUGAUUUUGAUAGUUUGUUGAAAAAGGUACAUUUUUGGUAUAUACAGGCUAACACACGGCCAUAUGUUACACACGGGUAAGUGACAUGGUCGUAUGCUUUGUUUUUAAUUGGGAGGUUUUGGGUUACACAGUUCCAGUUUGUUACAUGGGGUGACCACAUGCCCAUGUGAUACUGUAGAUUUGGUCAUUAGAAUUUCCACACGGUUUUAGUCUCUCACACAGCCUAGCCAUGUUUGUAAGUUUUUGCAUUUAGGUCCACAAAGUUUCAUUGAGUUACACGAUCAGGUUACAUGACCAUGUGACUCCAAUUUCGCACGGUCACCUAUUGUAACACGGCCUAAGCACACAACCGUGUAACCCUGUAUUGCAAAUUUCUCCUUGAUGGUUAAAAGUUUGUAAUUAAGUCUUUAUUUGUUUCUGGGUUGGUUUAAGAGCUUUCGUAAGCUCGAUUGAGACUUGUAAUUGUUUGUAGGUCAUAUUAUAAAUGAACUAUAAAUUGUUUUGUUGUUUCAUUAAAUGUUAAAGUCAGAAAUGUAUGUGAUUUAUUCCGUUAACUAUUGUAGAUUCUAUAGCUCCGGCCCGACAGCCGGACCGGGUGAGGGGUGUUACUUACCAAUAAUGAUGAUCAAGAUGAAUGUUCCAAGAAGUAUGUUUUGAUCCUUGUUGAAAUCUCUAACCAUCAAGUUAUUUUUCAUUAUUGUGGAGCUCUUGGUCAUGUUGAAAGAUUAAUGGUGGAAGCAAGUAGUGGCAGAACCAACGCCCACUGCUCCUAUCACUGCUCGAGGUCAAGGGUAAAAAUCUAUAUGAGGGAGAAUGAGAUGUCAUCUCAUGGAUUUGAUGAACAUAAGAAGAGAAGCUAGGUUAUCUGUCAUUAUUGUAAUAUGGUUGGUCAUAUCAAAUCACAUUGUUAUAAGAUGUUGAAUGACCUGAUAUGAGAAUUGUUUGAAGACAAGUUACAACUCAAACAAGAUACAACUAGAAACAUGUAUGAGUGAGAAAAGAUUGACAAUUGAUUGAUGUAUGUUAGAAUCGUGAAGUAGAAACUGACGCAACAACUUUUGAAAAUCAAGAUGAAAAUAUUUAUGCUCUCUAGAGAUCUUGUGGUAAAAAUCCUUGUUGCUCCAUGAGUUAUAACUCUCACCUACAGAGCUAUUGAUAAGUUAGCAUCCAUUGCACCCUAUGUUGAAACACCUUAUUGAGGGGGAGUGUGUUAAUGCUACAACUAAGGGGGAGUUUCUUCUUUGCCAUGCUUUUUGUUAUUGAUUCUGUUUAUUCAUGAUGUUGCCUACAUGUUAUUACUUUAUGUAAUUGAUAAAACUUUAGCUUAUGUAGAUGUCGAGAAGAGCGGCAACCUUGGCCAAACUGCUAGGUAAUGCCAUAAUAUAACCCAUGGCCCAUCCAUUAGCACCUUUGAGUAAUCAUCGUCAUCCUGAAACUUGAUCAAGUAAAAAUCUUUCUUCAAACCCAUUAAUUGAAUGGAUUUAUUCAGCUUUCAGAGUACAUACACCUUGUUAGAGAAAGCAUUAAAAGUUAUGCGUCGGCCCAAAAGUUUGAUGUUGACAGUACCCACACAAUACGCUUCUCAAUAAAUUUGUGAACCUGAUUUGAAAAACUAAGAGAAGGUAUUCCAUCAACAUUAGUCGUUGUGAUAUCCCCCUCAUGGAACUCAAAAUCAUCAUCUUGUGAAACACUAGAAUGAUGUAAUGAAGAACCCAAAAAACGUGUUCUUAAAGGAUGUCCUAGGCAUCAUUGGUUCCUUCAUCUGCAAACCAUUCCCAUCAACCAUCGGAUCAUCAAUAUCCGGUGGCUCAUCCGGUCGCCUCCAUACCUUCUUGGUUGUCUGACCAAAGUUGACACUGGAAGUAGCGGAGUUGGAGCCAAUCACAAAAGCACCUAGAGAAAUUCUAUAACAUGUAAGUCAUUUAAUCAAUAAUCAAUAAUAAUAAUCAAUAAUCAAUAAUCAAUAAGAUAGUACCUGCUGUUCCAAAAUAAUAAUAAUUAAGCUUAGACCUGAAUUUGAUCUGCUCCAACAAUUUGUUUCAUUACUAAUCUAUUAAUAAAAUGUUGAAAAUUAUAUUUUUAUAUUAAUAUUAUCAUUAAAUUUAUAUUAUUUUUAUUUUUUAAAUUGAAUUUAGGUGAGAUGAAUGAAAACUAAUAUUAAAAAGGUCAUAAUUUUCUAUUAGAUCCUGUACUUUGCGUAAGUUAUGAAUUUAGUACUUAUAUUUUAAUUUGGUUAUUUUCAGUUCCUGUACUUUUAAAUUUGAAAAUUUUAGUCAUGGCCAAAUGAUUUAUUUUUAAAAAUUGAUGUGUCAAACAUAGUGUCACAUGUGUAAUGCUAUGUUUGUUUGUUAUUUUCACAUUUUACUCACAAAAAAUCAAUUAAUAGAUUUAACGACCGUCAUUUGCAUUAAGACUAAAAUUUUGAAAUUCAAAAAAAUCCAAUUGGUGAGCAUGGACUAAAUUUAUAACUUUAUGCAUAAUAUAUGAAUAAUGACAUAAUUUAAUCAAAUAAAUUUAACUGUUACCAUUAAAUCAGGACUACAAUAUCAAAAUUCAAAAUAAAUAAAAAUAAAAAUUGAUUAAAUUAAAGUCGAAAGUUUAAUAUCAUAUUAGACCUAUAAAAACUCUCCGGCUAAAGUCUAAUCCAAGCCCGGCGUCCUACUCCGCAUGUGAACAAAACUACUCAUAAGGCGUAAUGGACAUUGAUGUUUUAACUUAUAAUAAUAUGUCUGACAUAUACUUCCAACUAAUCUUUAUGUUGUUCGAAGGAUCCAAAAGGAAAAAAGGACACUAACCCAUAUCCAGGAAUUGCUGACACGGUUUUUUUUGUCUUUUGUUUUUUUAAAGAUUGAGAUAAGACUAAUACGACGGAGUUGAUUAUUAUGAUGAUAACUACCGACUAUUAAAAAACCCCUUAAAUUACAAAUAACGAUAGUGAUAUCAACUAUUAUUUACAACUCAGAGAGUCAUCUGUUAUUGAGACUACAAGGAACAUCUGAGUUCAGAAUUAAGACAAGCAAAAUGAGUGGCUUGAUGGAGCUUGUAAUUCUUGUCCCAUGUUGUUUCUUCCUCGUAGCUUUAAUAAAGUUCCUUUAUGAUUACCUGUGGGUACCUCUCCGUAUACAGCAUCUGAUGAAUUCACAGGGAAUCAAAGGACCUCCUUACAAAUUCAUCCAUGGAAACAAUGAAGAAGCUACCAAGAUGAGAGAAGAAGCAUUAAGCAAACCUAUGGCCUUGAGGCAUGAUAUAUUUCCUAGAGUGCAGCCACAUAUUUACACCUGGAUCAACAGAUAUGGUAAGAUCCAUGCAUGUUUUUCACUAUAGUGUUCCAAUAUAGUAGUAAAUGAAAUUUUGUAAGUAAUUAAAAGCUGACUUGGUUACUAAUAAAAGUUGUUUAUUCUGAUGAAAGAAGUUUUUUUACUUGAUUAUUAAUAAAAAAUUAGGAUUAUUUUAGUAAUAAAUAAUCAACAAUUGUAUCUAUUUUUAACAGAUGAUACUAAUCAAAUAAACUUCUAUUAAAUAGUUAUAUUUUUAUAAGUAGACAUUAGAAUUGGUAUAGAUAGGGGAGGGAUUUCAUUUUUAUGUUAUGAAAUAUUAAGACACGCUAAAAACCCAAAAACAAAAAAUUUCUCUAUUCUCCGUCAUCUUCAAAUAUUCAUAGGUUGUUUUAUCAAGAACUAUUGCAGAAGUUUUUAUAGAAUAUGAUACUUUUCCUAAUGUUCAGUGUACUAUUUUCAUUAAUGCAAAAUGUAGAUAAUUAUUGGGUUUCAUUAUAUUCUCGACACUUAUUUGUUUGUAACAUUUUUAACGCCUCAAAAUAUAAAUGAGAAGAAAUUGAAUCAUGAAAAAAGUGGCGUUGGUUAAUUUUUAUAAGUUUAUUUUUAUUCUUACCCACCAGUUCUAAGAAAAGAUGUACCCUUUUUUGUUUGAUUAGGGAGGAAUUAUAUUUAUUGGAAUGGUAUUCGAACUGUAUUAGUGAUUUCAGAACCUGAACUAGUCAAAGAGGUUCUGAAAAAUAAUGAAAAUACAUUUCCAAAAAAGAAGCCUUCGAUUUAUUUUAGCAACCUACUGGGGAACGGGCUUGUGUUGAUUGAGGGUGAAAAAUGGUUGAAGCGUCGGAAGCUUGCCAAUCAUGCUUUCCAUGGGGAAAGCUUAAAGGUCAGUCCUCAAAAUAUAUGUAUCGAUUGUAAUUAAUUUACAUGAACUAUACUUAUACUGCAAAAUUAAGGAUCUAUAAUUGUUGGCGAAAUCGUAUAUCGUUGCUUACAUAUUUUGGAGGAUUGUUUGGGUAGAACAUGACACCAGCAGUAAUUGCAAGUGUUGAAACAAUGCUAGAGAAAUGGAAAGGCCAAGAAGGCAAAGAGAUUGAAGUGUUUCAAGAAUUUAGAUUAUUGACUUCAGAAGUGAUAUCCAGGACAGCUUUUGGUAGCAAUUACUUGGAAGGGGAGAAGAUCCUUUCCAUGUUGAAAGAGUUGUCUGUAAUUAUGAGUCGAAAUAAUUUCAAGACUAGAAUUCCUCUCAUCAAGUAUGUUCCAAGAUUUUAACUAGUUUUUGAAUGCAAAUUUUAGGAUGUUUAUCCAUAUGGAUUCAGUUUUCUCCUUAUAUAUGGUUGACACAGCUGGUUUGUUUUUUACAGCAAGUUAUGGAAACCUGCUGAUAUGCUAAGGUCAGAAGAACUUGCAAAAGGAAUACAAGAUUGUGUGAUGAAGAUUGUUAAGAAAAGGGAAGACAAAUUUAAGAAAGGAGAAGCUGAUAGUUUUGGUAAUGAUUUUCUAGGAUUACUUGUAAAUUCCUAUCAUUCGAAAGAUAAUAACAGUCUAUCAAUGGAAGACUUGGUAGAUGAGUGCAAAACAUUUUACUUUGCUGGACAAGGAACUAUUAAUUCCUUACUAGCAUGGAUAGUCUUGCUUUUAGCAACCCAUGGAGAUUGGCAGGAGAAAGCUAGAAGAGAGGUGAUUGACAUAUUCGGUAACCGAAAUCCAGAUUCUGAAGGCAUUUCUAAACUCAAAAUUGUAAGUAUACUGUCCAACAUUCCAAAAUAUUUUGUAUCUCAAUCUCAGGUUUUUUAGUCAGGUCAUGUUUAUCGCAAUUGCAAAUUCAACAAAUACUAUGCAUUUAGUACAUUAUAUUCUUUAAUUUGAUUUGACAUAUUCCUGUUAUGCAAACAGAUGACUAUGAUUAUUUAUGAAACUCUAAGAUUAUAUGGUCCAUCAAAUGGCCUACCAAGAGGAGUUGCAAGAGAAGUGCAGUUGGGAAAACUAGUCUUGCCUUCUAACAUAGAUCUUCUGGUCCAAAAUAUUGCACUUCACCAUGACCCUUACCUGUGGGGAGAUGAUGUGCAUCUUUUUAAACCAGAGAGAUUUGCAAAAGGGAUUGCCAAAUCUACCAAUUACAAUGCAGCUGCAUUUUUUCCCUUUGGAUUAGGACCUCGAUCUUGUGUUGGUAUGUCCUUUGCAACCACAGAAACGAAGAUUGUGCUCUCCAUGAUUCUACAACGCUACACCUUUACCCUCUCCCCUGCCUAUGUCCACUCACCAAUGCCUAUUGUCGACCUUCAACCGCAACAUGGAAUUCAAGUAAUACUUGAACCACUGCAUAACAAUGAUUGAUGUACACAACAGCUAAGGACAUGGGAUUCAACUCUGUUUGUUACAACAUUCACCUUUAAGAGGUAACAUUUAAGAUAUCCGGGGUUUUUAGUAUUAACAACCCCUUCCCUAUUCCUAAGCUACGCCCUCCUCUAAACAAAAAGAAAUCUAUGCAUUUGCUAGUUUCCUUAGAUGGUAAAACAUGUGAUUAAACAAUACAUCCUUCAUAUGGCGCAUAUUCCAGCAAGUAAACAGUUAUAUUAUAAUGCAUUUUACUUCACCAUUCUGCUCAUAUUUCAUUUGAAUUGCAGUGUUAUCAUCCUAAAGUCACUCUAGCAAGCAAUGAGGUUGCAAGUUUCUGAUAAAUUUAGUUCUAACAGACUACUUAAGCUAAUCCACCUUGGUGCUUUGUUUUCUUUUCCUAAACUAUAUUUUUUGCUAUUCCUAGCCCAUUUAAGCAUUCAGUUGGAAGAUGGUCGAGAGUUGUUAUAGCAUUCGGAAAGAAAAGGUUAGUGUGUGUUAAGUGACUGUGUGAGGCUAAGGUUAUGAUAAUCUUCAGAUUGGUUCUGCUUACAUUAUCUAUAAUAUAAAAUUUACUUUUUAAAAAGUUGUUUAACAAGCUUAUAGCUAAGAUAGGAUAUCCAAAUAAAAUAUAUUAACAAAAAGUAACGAACAAGUGUUGGGUGGAAUGAUAAUUGCAGUAUCAAGGGGAGAAACUUUUGAUGGAAAAAAGUGCUAGGUACCCGUAAUGUUCAGGCAAACCUUCUUCAUGUAAAACUUCGCCGGAAAGAUGAUUUCAUAGGGUUCUAUUUCGUCUUCAAUCCAAUCAUUGUUCACGUUUUUUUUUCUUAUCAAUAAAUAGAUCUAUUUACUUGUAUGACUUAGAUAUCUCGUAUCUCUCAAAAUAAUGGUUCGAUUGAUGAGAUUUGUUACGAUAUUUAUGAGAUCAAUGAUAUCGAUGAUAUUGAUAUUCAAAUAUUUCUUCUUAAAUCAUAUUGAUUUAACCCCAUAAGCAAGAACACCACCCCAUAAUGUUGCCUCCAAAAGCAGAACCUCGUAUUUCCUCUAGAGAAUCUCUUAAUUGUUCAAGAGUACCUAGAAUGAAAUUCUUUAAUUAGAAAGAAUUUAGUUUAGAUGUAGGAUAUCUAUCCAGAAGUUUUCGCAACUCAUGAUAUAGAAUCAUAAAAAAAAUUCUGACUUUUUAAACAAAUAGAUCACUUGGGUGUAGAAAAGAAAUAAUUAAUAAUAAAAAUUGGUAUAAUUAGAAAAGAAUAUCUUAAGAGUUCAUUUUGUUCUCACACUAACUUUUAAUAUUUAUAUAUUAUUUUAUAAAGAAAUAUUAUAAAAAAUUCUUUUAAAAAUUGAUAUUUUUAUAAUACAUCACUCAAUGUUGAAUACAUUUCAUUAAUAAACAAUAAUUAGCUUAAUUAUUAAGAGUUGAAUUAACUAUUUUUUAAUGAAGCAUUCUCUCUCUAAAAUCUCCAUCCUCACCACUAUUCUUAUCUAAUUCACCUUCAAGUUUUAAAAUCAAUGCUCUAUCAUGUUUUGAUUUUCUUUUAAAUUUAUUUUAAAUUUUAAAAAUUCCUUUUUUAAAAUCUCAAAUAUAUUACAUUUCACACUUUUAAGAAAAUAAUGUACGUUCAAACAUUGAAAAUGACAUAAUUAAAUAAGAUAAUCACGAAUCCUGAAAAUGAACCUAAAACGAUUUGUCCAAUUCAAAAUUUGGAAUGAUAGAAUCUUAAUAGAAAAUUUAACCUAAUUUUUUGAAUAAUCUUAUUGAGGAAGAAAGAAGAUGGGACAAGAAUUACAAACUUCAUCAAGCCACUCAUUUUUCUGCUUUUGCUUCUUAUAUCAUGUUUGACGCUAUUUUGUCUUUUUUACUUGUAAAUUAGAAGAGAUGCUCCCAAUUAUUCAUUCAUCCUCUCAUAUUCAAUUGCUUAUUGUAAACUUAAUUUAAAGGAUCAAUGAUUUAUAUAAUCUCCAUGAAAUUUCUGUCACUAUUUUUUUUAUUAUUUUUUUCUAGCCAUUGUUGACUAACUGCACCUGUUAGUGGUGAAAUGAAAAAUUUUUCAUUUUACACCCUUUAUAAUUUAUAAAAUUUUAAAUUAAUAAUAAUAAAAUUAUAUUUUGACUUCUCUAAAACUGAUAAAAAUUUAAUUUAAUCUUUCAAAAAUUAUAAAAUGUAAACUAUUAAAAUAAUGAAAUUACAUUUUUAGAUUAUAUAAACUAUUAAAAUUUCGAAUAUUUUGAUGUAAUUAAAAAUAAUUGUUUAAACUAUCCUUUUAAAAAUAUAUUUAAUAUUUUAAUAUAUAAAAAAUUCCGUAUUAAAAUUAAAAUAUUUAAAUAAUCAUGUUGUAUAUAUAUUGAAACACGUUUGAAUUUUAUAUAUCAAAAUAUAUUUUAAAUUAUCACGUGAACAAGCUAUAUUCUAUAAAAAGGAAACACGUAAUAUAUACUAUUUAAAUAAUCAUGUUUUUAAAUAAAUUACACUUUUGGUCCUUUUCUUUUUGAAAAUUUGUAGUUAUGUCACCUAACUUGAGAUUUUUUAUCACCGAAAUUUGUAAACCUAUUAAUAUAUUAUUUGAAUUAGAAUUUCUUGGUUCAGUACUUAAAAUUUUGUAGAUGUUCAAUGGAAUAUAUUUAUUCCAACUUUAAAUUUAAAGAAUAAAAAUAUAAUAAAGUAAAAGUUGAUAUAUAAUCUUAAUUUUGUAUAGACUAAUUUCAAACUCAAUGCUACCAACAACUCCUAGAAAGAGUAUCCACUAAUAACAACAAACUUACAUGAGUGAGGCAUUUAUUGAAACAAUCAGCAACCAAUUUUGACUCUUUUUACCAAUUAUUUUAUAUAUUUAUUUGUAUUUUGAAGUUAACUUUAAAAUAUUCUAUAUAAAAUGAAUUUAAUAACAAUAAAUUGCCUUUUACGUUUACGAAAUUUGACCAAAUGAAAACGUUUCAAAGUGAAAGACAGUAUGGAAUCCAAAUUAUAGCUGAUGAAAUGUUAUUUCUUUUAAUUAUUAAAAACAUUAUAAUUAAGAGAUAUGAUUAUUUUAAUAAAUAGUUAUAAUUAUUAUUAAAAAAUUUCACUAUUUAAAUAGUGUUAUGAAUAUCUUAUUAAGUGGAUGUCCAUCAAGAUCAAUAUAAGUCUUUGAUGUACUUUAAAUUCUAAUAGCCAUUAGAAGUAGGUUUUGCAAAUAUUCUGAUUGAUCAAUAAAUUACGCUCUCUCUUUGUUCUCCUUCUUCUUUGUUCUUUGUCUUUUAUUUUAUAACACGUUAUCAUAACGAUUCUCUUUUAAUUGUUUUUCUCCAUAAGUCACAAAAAUAUCCAAAAAUUUAUUGUUAUCGAUUGCCUCCUAGAGUUGCUACGCGCACUAUGGGUAAUCAUUAGAGCCUUUAACCAAUGAGGUACACAUAAUUCUCUACAUUUUUUUAUGUCCUUUUAUGUAAAAAAAUUUAUAUAAUUCUUACGUGGUAUGUUUUUCUCCUUUAUUUAUUGAUUUUUGGAAAAAUUAUUUUACAAAAAAAAGUAUUAUUACUUUAAGGUUUCUUUUAAACUAAGAUUCGCAUAAUAUUUAAAUGUUUAAAGAUUUGAUUAUUAAAUUCUUGUCAUUAAAUAUUCUUGUAAUAUGAUUAAAAUUAUAGUGGAAAGUGUUAUUAACCUACCAUAGUUGAUCUAUUGAGUCUUACUAACUUUCUAAUGUUGAAUGAUUGUAUUAUAUCUUUUAAAUUGAAUUUAUAAAUAUUUGAUUAGAAGCUUCAAAAGAUUAAUUUAUAACAUAUAUGUGGUAUUGAAAUUUGGUACAAUGUGUAUCAAAUAACUUUCAAGCAUCGUACACACAAACUAAAUGAUUUUUUUACUAUUAGAUUAUAAAUGUUAUUACAAAAACAAAAUUGUUUUACUACUUGUCAUAUUGCUCGUGAUAAUAGCCAAGGUGAUACAAUGAUGUUAAAGAAUCUCAGGUAUAUUUUAUUAUAAUUUAUUUAUUAUGCCAUGUUUAUUAUAAUUGGAGACUAAUCACGACAACAUGAAUAGAUAGAUUUUGAUUUAAAAUCCACGCAUGUUUUGCAAUGGUGAUUAUGAAAUAAAGAAUCAAUGGAGGCGUUUAGAAGUAUGCCCCACUAGAUUUGUUGCAUUCCUUGAAGUGAAUGUAAACAUAAAGAAAAUAAAAGAUAUAAUCAUGGAUCACUAAAAGUGGGAACAUAGUAAUAAAUAAGAGAACAAUGAGAGUUCUCCAGAUAACUCUUCAAAGGGUAAAUAUAACUUAUGUUAUCAAUGUGAUAUGAAAUAUUAUUGGCCACAUAUGUGGCGUAUCCCAAAUAUUUUGUUUCUGUUAAUAUUUUUGAGGAAGGAUAUGAGAAUGUAGAAAUAAAUUAUGUUAUUACAGAUAUAAAAUAUUUAUCUUAUUUGAUACUGAAACAAACAAAUAUUAUUCAAAUAUUUGGUAGUACAAAAUUAGUCGACAGCUCCAGAAGAGCUAAUAUAUUAAUAUCAUCCCCAAUGGUUAAUCCAUUGGUUUUAAAAACUAUUCAUUGUAAUGGAUCUCAUAUUGAGAUUGUAAAUGAGGAAAAAAUUAUAUUUCAUAUGAAUCACUAUUGCUAUAAAUAUCUAUUUUAAAAAGAUAAAAAAAAAGGGAAGGAUUGAGUUAUUAGUUAAUCUUGUUAUUAAAUUGAAUUUAUUAUGACUAUCUUUGUGAUCUUUUGUCAUCAUCCCCAUUAAGGGGUUGAAAGCAAAAUAUUUAACUGUGAAAAAUCUACUUAUGAGCAAUAGAAUAUGGUAAUUCUAUCUAAAACUUGUUAUGGUUGGAUGCACUUGAAGUUGCAAGUUUUUUAAAACAAUGAGUAUAACUCUAUAGUAUUCAGAAUAAGAUCUUAAUUAAAAUUACGUGAAAAAAUAUUACUGAUGAGAAAUUGCAAGAGAGAAAACUUAUGUAUGAAAAAGUCAUUGGUUAUGUACCUGUUGUACACCUGGAAAAUAAAAUCCACUCUUAAAGCUUGCUAUUAAUAGAUUUUGGUUGGAUUCAAAGUCUACUACUGAAGUUUAAUUUGUUUACUUCUUGAUCAAAUCGUCAAGACUCAACGCAGAAAAAAAAAGGUACAUAUUAAAAUAUUAAAUCAACUUGAUAUAUGGUUUAAAGAUUUGAAAUGGUCUUCUUUUUAAGUUUUGAUUACAUGGCUUACAUAUUGUUUUCGGUAUCUUAUUUGUUCAUGAAAAUGACUAUUAACUGAUUUUAUAACAACCCAAAACUCGACCCAGAAGUUUUGACCAAAUUCCGGAGGUUUCAUUGGCCACCCGAAGUGGCAAAAGUAAAAACUCUGAAUUAAACAUAGAAAAUUCUUUUCGAAACCAUUUUGAUGACUAAUUAUAGCAAGUUAGAUAAAAACUUAGUUAUAUUUUGAAAACAAUGUUUACUUGGCGGCAAUGACUAAGUCAGGAAUAAACCAAAUUGGUCUUUCUUGAACAGUUUCAAAAGCAUCAAAUUUUAUCAAUCACAAACCAAAAUUCAAAACUGGAAACACAUAAUUUAACGAACAAUCCAAUUACAAAACCCAUACCACAUUUUAUAAACUCCCUUACAAAUAAACUAAAAAUAAUAAAUUGAAUUUAAGAAAUAUUGUUAAAACAAACCAAACUUUUUAAGUAUCCGAGGCCUCCAAUAUGCCGAGUCCAACCUCCAAGCUCCAAGUUAACCUAAAAGAGAGGAAACUAAGGGGAUGAGUUAUACGAGCUCAGUGUGAGACUGGAAGAGUGGUGAAGGCAAAAGACCGUAUACCAAAAUGGAUAUCUUAAAAGAAAUCUUGCAGACUAAGUGUGAAAGUCUAGUGUGAAAGUCUCGAUCCGGUACUCAGACAUAUAAACAAUGUCAUUGCCAAACAUAACAUAAAGAUAAUAUACUUAACACACUAAUUACUUAAUCAUGUCGGACUACUUAAAUUAUUUCAAGGAUGUGCUAUUAUCCUUGCAAACAGACUUAUACUCAAAUAUGAAAAUGUAUGCAGCAAACUAAACUCACCCAACCAACUGAACAUCACUUCGUCCACCCUGCACACCACACAAGACUAUAAUAAUCCUAUCUACCCAGCACACUACAUAGGACCAUGAUAGGUCCAUCCACCCUACACAUCACAAAUGUGGAACUAAGCCACUAGAAUUCAAAUGUGCAGCUGAGCUGACAUAUGUAUAAAAUCAUGCAGUAACCCGCUAGACAAAAAAUAUUGCAGUUGAACUGCCAAAUCAGUCUUUCUUCUCUUCACAACCAAAAUCCUAGAUUUUUAUGCAAAUGGAUGAAUGCACACAAUUCGCUAACAGACUCAUCGAAAUAGAGACAUAUUUUCGGUUGAAUACAUUUAGAAUCAAUUAUACUUAUAUUCAUUCACUAGGUAAUAUUUCAAAUCCAUUUAUCACAUCAUAUUAAUGCAUAAAUAAACAAUUAACUUUAAUCCUAUAAUUGCAAAUACACACACAAGUUUGAGCUGAAACAAAGUCCCAACACACUUACAGAGACCUUAACAAACGUUGGGCUACACAGAAACUAAAGCGAGUCAAUUUACAGAAAAGGACAAAAAUUUGUGAAACAGAGCCAUACAGCCGUGUGGAGGAGUUCAGACCGUAUGAGGGGUCUACAAGGCCGUAUGAAAGAGGGACACGACAGUGUGUUGGAGACACAUGCCUGUGUGAUAGGGUUACAUGGUCGUGUGAAUAACCCGUGUAACUCACUGUGCAUUUGUGUAAAAUUUAGCAAAAUUUGAGAAGCAAAACAGACACAGUUGUAUGGCCAACUCAAAUGCCCGUCUGGCUAAGAAACACGACUGCGUGUCCAAGGCAUACGCUCAUGUAGAAAAUAAUUAAAUCCCCAAACAUAGCCACACGAUCGUUUGGCACACCCCAAUUCGUAUGACAAAAAAUUACCCUAAUUUCGUAGUGACACACGGCCGUGUGGACCGCCCGUGUGGCUACCCAUGUGGUCACAAAACCACACCGAAAUAGGCUGAAAAUUGUGAAUUUGCAAUAGCAAAACAAUCCUUAAUCACUAAUAGUUUAGAAACAUACCUUAAAUUGGGACUCCGGUCACCAAUAACUGAUUGUUUCGCCUCCACAAAACUGUUCUAGAACUCAAUUACAAUUACCCACAAAAUAUUUUAAAACCUCAGUCAACAAUAUUAAAGAAUCAAGAAAAUCAAACUAAAAUUUAAAAGGAGUACUUACACAUUUCAGCACUAAAACUAAUGAACAUGCAAAUCUCCUAACAAAGCAACCGAAACCAAGGCCCCAAUGAACCGCCAAAAUAGCGCAAAACUAGCAAACCUUAAUAACCUAAUGGUGACAAGAGAAACUAAAGAACUAGAGAAUAAAGGCACCACAAAAACUCAAUGGCCAAAAAGAAUCAAAAAUUGAAACUGGAAAUGAAAUAGAGGAAAAACAACGUGUGAGAGAAAAGAGAAAAAUAAAUAAAAUCAACGAACCCACCUUAUAUGUGAAGGAAUAAGGAAAGGACACCACGCUGAUACUAUCCUUAUAUGUUGACGAUCUAUUAGAAAUUGGCAUUAGUGGAAACCUGCUAGUUGAGUUCAAGAAACAAAUGCGAGCUGAAUUUGAAAUGUUUGAUCUUGGAGACAUGACUUAUUUUCUUGGUCUAAAACUAUUUCAGUCAGAUCAAGGUAUCUUCAUCAAUCAAAAGAGCUUUGCCUUGAAGAUAUUGAACUGAUUUUGUAUGGAAAAUUGAAAGCCAGCAGGGACUCCCAUUGCUCAAGGUAAAAAACUCCCAAGCCAUGGUUAAUUUGAAAUAGUUGAUGAAGGCAAUUAUAGGAGCCUUAUAGGAUGUUUACUUUAUUUGAUAGCAUCGUGGCCAGAUAUUAUCUUUUCUGUCAGUCUUUUUUCAAGAUUUAUGCAUUGUUGUAAUGUGAUCCAUUUUAAAGUUACGAAGAGGGUUCUAAGGUAUGUCAAAGGAACUUUGAGUUAUGGAGUUGAAUAUGUGAAGGAAAAGGAGCUAAAGUUGGCUGGUUUCACAAACAGUGAUUGGGCUGGUUCUGUCGAACAUAUAUAUGAAGAGCACUUCAGGGUACUUCUUCACUUUGAGAUCAAGUGUAUUCAUUUAGAGCUCAAGGAAGCAAGAAAUUGUUGCACAAUCAGAGUACAUCACAAUAACUGCAGCAGCAAGCCAAACACUUUGGCUAAGAAAGUUAAUGUCUGAUUUAAAUCUUAAGUAAGUUGAAGCAACAGAGAUAUAUUGUGACAAUCAAUCUGCUAUUGCAAUUUGAAAGAACCCUAUCUUCCAUGACAAGGCAAAACACUUCAAGAUAAAAUACCACUUUAUUAGAGAAGUCGAGCAAUAAAAUGAAGUGAAGCUUGUUCAUUGCAGUUCAGAUAUUCAACUUGCUGAUAUUCUCACAAAACCUCUUGAAAAGUUGAGGUUCGAGAGGCUAAGACAUGAUAUUGGAGUUUGCGGCAUUAUUGCCAAGGAAGAGUGUUGUGAAGUGGCGAUUCAUACAGUGGCGAACUCAACAUGCAAAGGCACGAGCUCAAACAAGUUUGUGAGCUCUACACUUCCGAGCUCAUCCAAAGUUGUGGGCUUACCUAAAGAUGCGAGCUCAACUCAAGUUGCGAGCAUGUCAAAGUGUGAGCGUGUUAAGUUUUUUGGUNNNNNNNNNNNNNNNNNNNNNNNNNNNNNNNNNNNNNNNNNNNNNNNNNNNNNNNNNNNNNNNNNNNNNNNNNNNNNNNNNNNNNNNNNNNNNNNNNNNNGUUGCAAGUUUUUUAAAACAAUGAGUAUAACUCUAUAGUAUUCAGAAUAAGAUCUUAAUUAAAAUUACGUGAAAAAAUAUUACUGAUGAGAAAUUGCAAGAGAGAAAACUUAUGUAUGAAAAAGUCAUUGGUUAUGUACCUGUUGUACACCUGGAAAAUAAAAUCCACUCUUAAAGCUUGCUAUUAAUAGAUUUUGGUUGGAUUCAAAGUCUACUACUGAAGUUUAAUUUGUUUACUUCUUGAUCAAAUCGUCAAGACUCAACGCAGAAAAAAAAAGGUACAUAUUAAAAUAUUAAAUCAACUUGAUAUAUGGUUUAAAGAUUUGAAAUGGUCUUCUUUUUAAGUUUUGAUUACAUGGCUUACAUAUUGUUUUCGGUAUCUUAUUUGUUCAUGAAAAUGACUAUUAACUGAUUUUAUAACAACCCAAAACUCGACCCAGAAGUUUUGACCAAAUUCCGGAGGUUUCAUUGGCCACCCGAAGUGGCAAAAGUAAAAACUCUGAAUUAAACAUAGAAAAUUCUUUUCGAAACCAUUUUGAUGACUAAUUAUAGCAAGUUAGAUAAAAACUUAGUUAUAUUUUGAAAACAAUGUUUACUUGGCGGCAAUGACUAAGUCAGGAAUAAACCAAAUUGGUCUUUCUUGAACAGUUUCAAAAGCAUCAAAUUUUAUCAAUCACAAACCAAAAUUCAAAACUGGAAACACAUAAUUUAACGAACAAUCCAAUUACAAAACCCAUACCACAUUUUAUAAACUCCCUUACAAAUAAACUAAAAAUAAUAAAUUGAAUUUAAGAAAUAUUGUUAAAACAAACCAAACUUUUUAAGUAUCCGAGACUUCUGAUAUGCCGAGUUCAACCUCCAAGCUCCAAGUUAACCUGAAAAGAGAGGAAACUAAGGGAAUAAGCUAUACGAGCUCAGUGUGAGACUGGAAGAGCGGUGAAGGCAAAAGACCGUAUACCAAAAUGGAUAUCUUAAAAGAAAUCUUGCAGACUAAGUGUGAAAGUCUUGAUCUGGUACUCAGACAUAUAAACAAUGUCAUUGCCAAACAUAACAUAAAGAUAAUAUACUUAACACACUAAUUACUUAAUCAUGUUGGACUACUUAAAUUAUUUCACAGAUGUGCUACUAUCCUUGCCAACAGACUUAUACUCAAAUAUGAAAAUGUAUGCAACAAACUAAAAACUCACCCAACCAACUGAACACCACUUCGUCCUUCCUGCACACCACACAAGGCUAUAAUAAUCCUAUCUACCCAGCACACCACAUAGGACCAUGAUAGGUCCAUCCACCCUACACAUCACAAAUGUGUAACUCAGCCACUAGAAUUAAAAUGUGCGGCUGAGCUGACAUAUGUAUAAAAUCAUGCAGUAACCCGCUAUACAAAAAUAUUGUAGUUGAACUGCUAAAUCAGUCUUCCUUCUCUUCACAACCAAAAUCCUAGAUUUUUAUGCAAAUGCAUGAAUGCACACAAUUCACUAACAGACUCAUCGAAAUAGAGACAUACUUUCGGUUGAAUACAUUCAGAAUCAAUUAUACUUGUAUUCAUUCACUAGGUAAUAUUUCAAAUCCAUUUAUCACAUCAUAUUAAUGCAUAAAUAAACAAUUAACUUUAAUCCUAUAAUUGCAAAUACACACACGGAUUUGAGCUGAAACAAAGUCCCAACACACUUACAGAGACCUUAACAAACAUUGGGCUACAUAGAAAUUAAAACGAGUCAGUUUACAAAACAGGACAAAAAUUUGUGAAAUAGAGCCAUACGGCCGUGUGGAGGAAUUCAGACCACGUGAGGGGUCUACACGGCCGUAUGAAAGAGGGACAUGACAGUGUGUUGGAGACACACACCUGUGUGAUAGGGUUACAUAGUCGUGUGAGUAACCUGUGUAACUCACUGUGCAUUUGUGCAAAAUUUAGCAAAAUUUGAGAAGCAGAAUAGACACAGUUGUAUGGCCAACUCAAAUGCCCGUCUGGCUAAGAAACACGACUGUGUGUCCAAGGCAUAUGCUCGUGUAGAAAAUAAUUAAAUCCCCAAAUAUAGCCACACGACCAUUUGGCACACCCUAAUUUGUAUGACAAAAAAAUUACCCUAAUUUCGCAGUGACACACGGCCGUGUGGACCGCCCGUGUGGCUACCCAUGUGGUCACGAAACCACACCGAAACAGGUUGAAAAUCGUGAAUUUACGACAGCAAAACAAUUCCUAAUCACUAAUAGUUUAGAAACAUACCUUAAAUCGGGACUCCGAUCACUAAUAACUGAUUGUUUCACCUCCACAAAACCAUUCUAGAAACUCAAUUACAAUUACCCACAAAAUAUUUUAAAACCUCAGUCAACAAUAUUAAAGAAUCAAGAAAAUCAAACUAAAAUUUAAAAGGAGUACUUACACAUUUCAGCACUAAAACUAAUGAACAUGCAAAUCUCCUAACAAAGCAACCAAAACCAAGGCCCCAAUGAACCACCAAAAUAGCGCAAAACUAGCAAACCUUAAUAACCUAAUGGUAACAAGAGAAACUAAAGAACUAGAGAAUAAAGGCACCACAAAAACUCAAUGGCCAAAAAGAAUCAAAAAUUGAAACUGGAAAUGAAAUAGAGGAAAAACAACGUGUGAAAGAGAAAAGAGAAAAAUAAAUAAAAUCAACGAACCUACCUUAUAUGUGAAGGAAUAAGGAAAGGAAACCAUGCUGAUACUAUCCUUAUAUGUUGACGAUCUGUUAGAAAUUGGCAUUAGUGGAAACCUGCUAGUUGAGUUCAAGAAACAAAUGCGAGCUGAAUUUGAAAUGUUUGAUCUUGGAGACAUGACUUAUUUUCUUGGUCUAAAACUAUUUCAGUCAGAUCAAGGUAUCUUCAUCAAUCAAAAGAGCUUUGCCUUGAAGAUAUUGAAUAGAUUUUGUAUGGAAAAUUGAAAGCCUGUAGGGACUCCCAUUGCUCAAGGUGAAAAACUCCCAAGCCAUGGUUAAUUUGAAAUAGUUUAUGAAGGCAGUUAUAGGAGCCUUAUAGGAUGUUUGUUUUAUUUGACAGCAUCGUGGCUAGAUAUUAUCUUUUCUGUCAGUCUUUUUUAAAGAUUUAUGCAUUGUUGUAAUGUGAUCCAUUUUAAAGCUACGAAGAGGGUUCUAAGGUAUGUCAAAGGAACUUUGAGUUAUGGAGUUGAAUAUGUGAAGGAAAGGAGCUAAAGUUGACUGAUUUCACAAAUAGUGAUUGGGCUGGUUCUGUUGAACAUAUGAAGAGCACUUCAGGGUACUUCCUCACUUUGAGAUCAAGUGUAUUCAUUUAGAGCUCAAGGAAGCAAGAAACUGUUGCACAAUCAACCGCUGAAAUUGAGUACAUCGCAAUAACUGCAGAGCAAGCCAAACACUUUGGCUAAGAAAGUUGAUGUCUGAUUUAAAUCUUAAGUAAGUCGAAGCAACAGAGAUAUAUUGUGACAAUCAAUCUGUUGUUGCAAUUUGAAAGAACCCUAUCUUCCAUGACAAGGCAAAACACUUCAAGAUAAAAUACCACUUUGUUAGAGAGGUCGAGCAAUAAAAUGAAGUGAAGCUUGUUCAUUGCAGUUCAGAUAUUCAACUUGCUGAUAUUCUCACAAAACCUCUUGAAAAGUUGAGGUUCGAGAGGCUAAGACAUGAUAUUGGAGUUUGCGGCAUUAUGGCCAAGGAGAAGUGUUGUGAAGUGGGGAUUCAUACAGUGGCGAACUCAAAAGGCACGAGCUCAAACAAGUCUGCGAGCUCUACACUUCUAAGCUCAUCCAAACCAAAGUUGUGGGCUUACCUAAAGAUGCGAGCUCAACUCAAGUUGCGAGCAUGUCAAAGUGUGAGCUGUUAAGUUUUUUGGUGAAACCCUAGUUAAAGUGCGAGCAGGGUUCACAUAUCUUGAUAUCAAUGUUUUUUUUCUUUAGUCUACUUAUUUGAGUUUACUUGUCAAAGCAAAUAGAGUUAGUAUUGAUUUUAUGUUUUUAAGUAUUGAUUUGUUAACUUAUUAUUGUAAUUCAUGUGAACUGAAAGAUGACAAAUUUAUGCUCUCUCAACUUCUCAAAACACCAGCAGCAUCCCUGUCAUCAUUUUAAUAUCUUUAUAAAUUUUAAAUGAUUAAAUAAAAUUUUUAUCAAUUUUGAGAUCAAAGUACAAUUUUACCCUUAUUAAUUUAAAAUUUUAUAAAUUAUUUCACAUUAGAUUACCAUUUACAUCCUUUGUUCAGUUUGGCUAUAAAACUAAAGGCACAUAUGGAUUCAGUGGUAAGAGAAGAAAAAAAGAGUGACUUGAUGGAGCUUGUAAUUCUUGUCCCAUGUUGUUUCUUCCUCGUAGCUUUAAUAAAGUUCCUUUAUGAUUACCUGUGGGUACCUCUCCGUAUACAGCAUAUGAUGAAUUCACAGGGAAUCAAAGGACCUCCUUACAGAUUCAUCCAUGGAAACAGCAAGGAAGUUGCCAGAAUGGAACAAGAAGCAUUAAGCAAACGUGUGGCCUUAACAGAUGAUAUAUUUCCCAAAGUACUGCCACAUUUUUACGCCUGGAUCAACAGAUAUGGUAAGAUCCAUGCAUGUUUUUUCAUUAUGAUUUAUAACUCGUAGUUCUAAGAAAAGAUUGACCUUUUUCUUUUCAAGUGAUUAGGGAGGAAUUUUGUUUAUUGGAACGGUGCGCGACCUGAAUUGGUGAUUUCAGAGCCUGAAUUAAUCAAAGAGGUUCUGCAAACUAGUGAAAAAAAAAUUCAAGAAAAGAGCCUUUCAGAUAUUGGUAAGGAGUUCCUGGGGAAUGGGCUUCUAUUCAUUGCGGGGGAAAAAUGGGCAAAGCAUCGAAAGCUAGCCAAUCACGCUUUCCAUGGGGAAAGCCUUAAGGUAAAUCCUCCAGUAUGAUUAAUUGACAAGAAUUAUACAGACUACAGAAUUUUGUAUUGUUGCCUAACAACCAGUUUAUAGUCGAAGUUGAAAGUAUUCGUAGAAAAGUAUUUUUUUAACCUCAAUAGUAAGCAAAGUCUAAAUAGUAUGUGGCAACUACUUAUAUAUUGAAGGAUUGUUUGGGCAGAACAUGACUCCAGCAAUAAUUGCUAGCGUUGAAACAAUGCUAGAAAAGUGGAAAGGUCAAGAAGGCAGAGAGAUUGAAGUGUUGAAAGAAUUUAGGUUAUUGACUUCAGAAGUGAUUUCCAGAACAGCUUUUGGUAGCAGUUACUUAGAAGGGGAGAAGAUUUUUGCCAUGUUACAGAAGUUGACAAUAAUUAUGAGUCGAAAUCUUUUUAAGACUAGAAUUCCUUUGAUCAGGUAUCUUCCCUAUAAGCUUAAUUAAUCCCAACUUUUACCUUGAUUUCAGCUAGCUUUUGAAUGCAACUUUUGGACUUUCAUUCCCCAUGGAUUUGGUUUUCUCCUUAUAUAUAGCUGACCAUUGUUUGCUUUUGCAGCAAGUUGUGGAAAUCUUCUGAUUUGCUAGAGUCUGAAAAACUUUCAAAAGAAAUAAAAGAUCGUGUGAUGAAGAUUGUUAAGAAAAGAGAAGACGAAGCUGUGAAUGGAGAAGUCAAUAGCUUUGGCAAUGAUUUUCUUGGAUUACUUGUAAAUGCCUAUCAUGAUUCGGACGAGAAAAACAGGUUUUCAUUGGAAGACUUGUUAGCUGAAUGCAAAACAUUCUAUUUUUCUGGACAAGAAACUGUUAAUUCCUUACUUUCAUGGAUAGUCUUGCAUUUGGCAAUCCACGGAGAUUGGCAAGAAAAAGCGAGAAGAGAGGUGAUUGACAUAUUUGGUAACCAAAAUCCGCAUCUCGAAGGCGUCGCCAAACUCAAAAUAGUAAGAAAACUAUCUAACUGGGAAUUCAAAUAGCCAUCAACAUGAUGUAAUCUAACAUAUUUUUCUAUUUUCCAAACAGACGACCAUGAUCAUCAAUGAAACUCUAAGAUUGUAUGGUCCAUCAAAUGGCCUGGCAAGAGCAGUUACAAGAGAAGUUCAGUUGGGAAAGCUACUCUUGCCUGCUAAUAUAAGUAUUCUGCCUUUAUAUAUUGGAAUUCACCAUGACCCUCACUUUUGGGGAGAUGAUGUGCAUCAUUUUAAACCCGAGAGAUUCGCUGAAGGGAUUGCGAAAGCUACCAAUUAUACCGCGGCUGCAUUUCUUCCCUUCGGGUUGGGACCUCGAUCUUGUGUUGGUAUGACAUUUGCAACAAUAGAAACCAAGAUUGUUCUCUCCAUGAUUCUACAACGUUACACCAUUACCCUCUCCCCUGCCUAUAUCCACUCUCCGAUAUCCAUUCUCAGCAUUAGACCACAACAUGAAAUUCAGGUGAUACUUGAACCACUGCAUCAUAAUGCUUGAAGUACAUAGCUGUUAAGAACUAAGGGUUUAACGUGGUUCAUGUAUUUUAGGUUUAAGAGAUGACAUUUAAUAUGUUUAAGGUUCCAGCAUUUGCAUCCCCUUCCCUAUCCUAAGCUAUACCCACCUUUAUACAUAAUGAAAUUCAAGUAGCUACUGAUUUCCAAGAUGGUAAAACGCAAUCAAUAAAGAAGAAUAUGUUGAGGCAAGUUUCGGGAACAGUGACUUGAAAACUGACAACUGCACUCGGCACGUGUUCCUUAUUUGUUAGCAUGUUUAAAAUAAAUAUUUUAAUUAUUUGCUUGCAUCUUUUUAAAGAUUUUGUACAUUCUUAAACUAAUGGUUAUACUAAGGCUUGUUAGCGGUUUAAACUUUGGGCAAAGCACAAUAGACGUAGAUAUGUUCUCCCUGAUUGGUGUCGAAUUUACUAAAAAUAAAUUCUUCUACUUGAUACUGAAAUUAAAUUUAUAAUAUAGAGAGUAAAGUCGAUCCCACAUAAGUUAAUCUAUCCAAAUAUAUAUUCUUUAUAACUAGAACGUGUCCCAAGUAGUUUUUAUGCCCAUGACUUGUGCGAACCUGUACCAAAAAUAAGAGGGGAUAAAAUCUGAAAAAUAAAUAAACAACCGAAAUUAAUUAAAAAUAAAAAUAAAGUAGAAAUAAGUAAAAUGAAAUAAUAUUAUUGAAUUAAAUAAUUUCAGUUUUUAUAAAAAAAAAUUUAUCAUACACACCUGGAAAAUAUGAAACACAUGGUUAAAUCUUAUUGGCUUCUGGACUAAAAAUAUUAAAUAAAAGAAAGUUUUGGGUAAAAACAAUUUAAACAUGAAUGUGAGAAAGUGAGUAUAGUUUAAGAGCUAAAAUAUGAAUAAAGUCUAAAUAAAUUCCUAAAAUAUAAAAAUUCAUAAAUACAUUAAUGUGAUUAUAUAUAAUCAAAAUUAAAUAUUAAAAUCAAACUAAAUAUGAUUUAAACUUGAAUGAAACUCGUAAUUCUCGUAAAAUUCUUAUUCAAAAAUAAGUUUUUGAACUCGAAAUAAGAAAAUAAAUUUAUUAAAAGAGGCAACCACUUAACAGUGGAUGAUACAAGUCCUUGCAAGAGCAAUUACAAAAUCUGCUGAACUGCACAAUUAACAUACACCAAUAUGACAUCACCACAAGAAAAGCACACUUUACCAAUGCCAGAAAACCAUAGCCCGGAGCAGAAAACAAGAAGCGAGAGAGCAAGUUAUAUCUGAAAACAAGCACUACUACGAAACCCUUCUCAACAUGGCAAACACCACAUCAGAAACUAAGACAAACAGCAGCUCCACCCAUAAUCCAGAACCAAGCAACUAACUAUAGUGAUCGCCCUUGCUUAAAAAAAAAAAGAAAACUUUACAUAGAUCAACGAGUAAGCAUUGGACCUCACCCCAAGUAAGAAAACGAUCCAUCAAACCUUGAAAAAGCUUUAGACACCAUCACUUAUCAGUAGAUAAGAAACCUAAAACAGAGCCAACACCAGCAACACCUUAUCAAGACCAACAGCCUAGAAAAAAUCUCAAUGGAACCGAUAUCAAACGAAACUCAAUGCCAUAUCGGCUCCCAUAAAACUUUCAAACCACCCCACUGUAGCUCUUAAGACUGACGAUAACCAUACUUUAAAAUCACCAAAGCAUCCACUUCGAGAGACACCUUCAACCAUAACACAAUGAAUAGACUCAAAUUCAAUUCUAUAAUCACAACAUACAAAAAAAGACAGAAGCCAUAUUCAAUAAAAUAACAGCCUCAACCAAUCAGUAGGCCCAUAAAAGGCACAAAACACCAUAAUGCAUCAUCCAACCUCAACAACAUAGGGUUUGUUUAUCAUGGUGUUAUAAUCAAUAUUGGGUUCAAACCCACUAUAAGUAUAUUUUUAUUGAUUUUUAUUAUCUAGAAGAGUAGAUAUUAUACACGAACAUUUUAGUUAUUAGAUAUUUGUAAUAUUAAUGGUAAGGAUGUUGACAUGUGUCAACAAUUCAAUGGCCGCUAAACCUUAUAAAUAGGGAUAGUAGUUUUCAUUUCUGGUACCUAUGUGCAACAGAGAAGUGUGUGUCAUAUUGUAAUUGUAUUGUGCAUUAAUAAAGUGUUCUUUCCUCUUAUAAUUGUAAGUCCCGGCUAAGCCUUAGUUUUCUAAGCACUUAGUGCACUUGAGGAGUUAGCUUCUAUAUAUGGUUGGUUCUACAGUUUGAAUGAUAUAUGAUCGGCUCUGCCGCUUGAAUAAUAUAUGAUCAGCCCUGUUGCCUUAGUAUUAUAGUGCAUUAAGAAGUUAGAAAAUAAAAGGUUAACCGGCUCAAAAAAUUCGGUGUAAUAUUUCUUGUAGGUCUUAGGUCUUCUAUAAUGGGUGUGUUGGGCUCAUCGAGUUCCCAACAACAAAUUUUAGGAUGUUUAUUCCUAUGGAUUUAGUUUUCUCCUUAUAUAUGGUUGACAUUAGUUUGCUUUUACAGCAAGUUAUGGAAACGCGUUGAUAUGCUGAAGUCAGAAGAACUUGCAAAAGGAAUUCAAGAUUGUGUGAUGAAAAUUGUUAAGCAAAGAGAAGACAAAUUUGUGAAUGGAGAAGCUGACAGCUUUGGCAAUGAUUUUUUAGGAUUACUUGUAAAUGCAUAUCAUGAUUCGGAUGAAAAUAACAGGCUUUCAAUGGAAGACUUGGUAGAUGAGUGCAAAACAUUCUACUUUGCCGGACAAGAAACUGUUAAUUCCUUACUUGCUUGGAUAGUCUUGCUUUUAGCAACUCACGGAGAUUGGCAGGAUAAAGCUAGAAGAGAGGUGAUUGACAUAUUCGGUAACCGAAAUCCAGAUUCCAAAGGCAUUUCUAAACUCAAAACUGUAAGUAAAUUGUCAAAUAUUCCUAUAUAUUUUUUAUCUCAAUCUCAAAGCUGGUGUUUCAAUCACGUCUUGUUUAUCGCAAUCACAAAUGUAACAAAUAUUAUGUGUUUAGUACAUAUUCUUUAAUUUAAUCUGACCUAUUCUUGUUUUGCAAACAGAUUACUAUGAUUAUUUAUGAAACACUAAGAUUGUAUGGUCCAUCAAAUGGCUUGCAAAGAAGAGUUACAAGAAAAGUUCAGUUGGGAAAGCUAGUCUUGCCUGCUAAUAUAGAUAUUCUGGUUCAAAAUAUUGCACUUCACCAUGAGCCUCACCAGUGGGGAGACGAUGUACAUCUUUUUAAACCAGAGAGAUUUGAAGAAGGGAUUGCCAAAGCUACCAACUACAAUGCAGCUGCAUUUUUUACCUUCGGAUUGGGACCUCGAUCUUGUAUUGGUAUGUCCUUUGCAAUCACGGAAACUAAGGUUGCAAUCUCCAUGAUUCUACAACGCUACACCAUUACCCUCUCCCCUACCUAUGUCCACUCACCAAUGCCUAUUCUCGCCAUUCGACCACAACAUGGAAUUCAAGUAAUACUUGAGUCACUGCAUAACAAUGCUUAAAGUACACAAUAGCUAAGGGACUUGAGGUUUAACUCAAUUUGUUUAUGUAUUCACCUUUAGGUGUUAAAAUUUAAUAUAUGUGGCACUUUUAACAUUAGUAACCCCUUCCUAUUCCUAUGCUAUACCCUACUCAACGCAAAAACAUGGUAAAACAUGCAAUCCAUAAAUAUAUAUAUAUAUGUGUGUGUGUGUGUAUGUGUGUUUCAGUAUUGUUGAUCAAUAUAUAAUUUUUACUAGCUAUGCCUUAUUUCAUUUGAAUUGCAGUAUUACAUCCUAAAGCCUUUCCACCAAGCAAUAGCAGCAAGAAUUAAACUAAGUUGUGAACAUCGAUACAUUGUACGAUAGGCUUGAUCAAGAGCAUUAGCCAAACAACAGCAGCAAACAUAUCCCAUAGAUGCCACUUGAUAUCAAACACCAUAGAUACCACUCGAUAUCAAGCACCACCAUGAAUUAAACAUGGGUCUCCUCUUGAUUCUAGGUUUAACGAACGACUCUGCCAUGCCAUUCCUCUCACAAUUUACAUGAUGAAAAAGCACCGAACCAAUCUCAAUCACAAUUCAAUGAAUGUCAGAAAAAUACCCCGAAGCUUCCUGUUGGGGUUAUCAGGACAUAGAACAAGGAAGCAAGAUGCAUGAAAUAUUUUUACUUGCUCACAAUCUUGCAGCAAGGGAGAUUAUGGCUGAUAGCUCAUUUUGCUCAUUCAUUCAACUAGAAAACAAUACAUUUAUAACCAAAUACAUCACUAAAUACUGCCUACUACCACUAAGUAGCCUAGUAACUUGUUAACAUUGCUUGUGCACAUAAACAAGCCACCUAAACUAGUCAUUCAACUAC